CUGGUACCCCGGGUCCCGGAGGCAAAUGAGGCCGGGGGUGGGAGAACUCACUGAGGGCCAGCAGGAAAGGGCCGGGUAAAGGCACCGGGACCUGAAGGGGCGUGGGGCAGGGAAUCCAACUCAUAGGUCUCCAGAGGGGCAGGAACUGAGGGAGCCUCCGAACGGAGGGUCCCAAGUCUUGGGAGCCGAGCUUGCAGGGUCUCGGGAAGGGGAGAGCCCGGCUCGGCUGCUUCUGCCCCAUCCUAUCCCCUCCCCCUCCCCUCUCUGGGGCAGGAAGUGGAUUCUCCGCCUCCCCUCCCCCCCAGCCUGGUUACUGGAAGUCUAUGAGGGCAGGGCCUGCCCCUCCCAUCCCCACUUCCUUCGACCCCGCCUCCUCCCUCCUGCCCUCCCCCUCCCUCCAGGCCUCGGUUUAUGGGAACUCCGGCCUCCGGCCCCAAGGUUUCUCUGAAAUCAGCAGCUCCUGCUCCCCUUCCGAGCCCCUCCCACAUACCCUGGGGCCUGGGACUAAGGGACAUCUAUGGGGGUGGGGAAAGGGGAGAAUGAGGAACUGGGGAUCAAGUGACCGCAGGUGGAGCCUGAGGGAUGCAGGGAAAGAAAGGAUGGAAGCAAGCCCCUCCACAUCGCAGUGGCCCAAGGCAACCUUAUGGCCGUGCAGCGCCUGGUCCACCUCUUUCAACAAGGGGGUCGGGACCUGGAUGUCUACAACAAUUUAAGACACCCCUCCAUUUAGCCGUCAUCACUACCCUGUCCUCCGUGGUGAGGCUCCUGGUGUCGGGGG
RNAcentral lists this long non-coding RNA (778 nucleotides) under Sarcophilus harrisii (Tasmanian devil). RNAcentral describes it as "lncRNA (ENSSHAG00000031941.1)". The record is from RNAcentral. Lineage: Eukaryota; Metazoa; Chordata; Mammalia; Dasyuromorphia; Dasyuridae.